CAAAGUGUAGCUUAACUAAAAGCACCCGGCCUACACCCGGGAGAUAUCAUACAUAUUGACCACUUUGA
This 68-nucleotide transfer RNA is filed under the name Trinomys albispinus. RNAcentral's name for it is "tRNA-Val". Lineage: Eukaryota; Metazoa; Chordata; Mammalia; Rodentia; Echimyidae. The record is from RNAcentral.